Molecule: long non-coding RNA, 2949 nt
Organism: Eriocheir sinensis (Chinese mitten crab)
Lineage: Eukaryota; Metazoa; Arthropoda; Malacostraca; Decapoda; Varunidae
Exons: 3
Source: RefSeq, a predicted model, not a curated record
UACAAUAAUCCCAGCCAUCAGCUGUUGUUUGUUUACCUCGCGUGGGGGAAGGGUGCUCCGAGCCUCCCCUUGUUAUCCACGUGUGCCCCUUGUUAUCUUCGUGCUCCCCGCCUUGUAGCCGUACCGUGGCGGGGCGCGUGGGCGUUGACAUCCUGAAGAUGUCAGGUCGCAACGCAUUGGACCAUCGGCGCACCUUCCAGAAAGCCAACCAGGUGGUGGAGUUGACCACACACCAUUCCCAAGGCUCAACACCACCAGCGAGGACAUCAACACCAGUCACCACCACCACCACCACCUUUCGCUCGUAACUGCUGCAACAAAAAACAGCAAGAACAACACCACCUUGAAAUGCACCACCACUCAACACCAUUCACCACCACCAUUGAAGCCAGAUCACACCACCACCACCAACACCAGGGUGCUCUAUGAAGGGUUUAGUGUCCAUGCCGUCAAGUCCAUCUCCCUCAGUCUGUUCUGGGACCAUUUUAGUGUCAGUUCUCUGUAUCCUUUCCAACUCCAGCACUUCUUCCCGCAAGCUGUUCCAUGUGUUAAUACUUCUGUGUGAAAAACUUUACUUCUUCCAGUCACUCAAUCAGGUUCCUUUAUUAAGUUUCUUUCCGUGUCCUCUCAGCCCCUGCGUUUCUGAUACUAAGAAGAGAUCACCUCUGUCCACCUCAUCAAACGGGGGGCUUCGCGAUGCAGUGGUUAGCACACUCGGCUCAUGGCCGAGAGAGUCCGGGUUCGAUUCCUGGGCGGAGUGGAAAAAUUUGGGCGGCUUUUCCGAUACCCUACGUAGCCCCUGUCCACCCAGCAGUGUACCAGGUAUUAAUCGGGGGUUGUGUCCUGUCUCCUGGGAUCUGUUCCCUUCUCCUAGAAUUCCUUUCCCUGCUGUCUCUCUCCGGCAUAUGACCACAGAUGUUGCACCCACUAAACCAAACUUUCCAACUUUUUCCUCAUCAAACUUAUUUACCAACCUGUACAGUGUGAUCAGAUCUCCUCUCUCCCUUCUUUGUUCCAGUGUCGUCAAGUCCACCUCCCUCAAUCUGUCUUCAUACGUCAUAUUCCAGAGUUCUGGGACCAUUUUAGUUGCAAUUCUCUGUCUUGAGUCCAACAUAAUCUGCCUUUGUGCAGUUUUCCUUUUUUCCUCAUAUGCCUCAUCUUGGUAUUCACAUCCUUCCAUAGUUUUCAUCUGUCAUAGUUGAUGGCCACUCUCUCCUAAGGGGCACUCGUCACUGACUCCUUCAUCUAACUCAACAUUUUUUGUGAAAAUUAGCUCAAGUCUUGAUGGUUGGUCAUCCCCUCUCAGCCUUGUUUCUCCUUUAACCCACUGCAUCAACAGGUUAUCACAUCAGAUUGGCUACAGUGAAGGUCGUGGCAGCCAGUCAGAGAGUGUACUGAAACUCCUGCUGUGAGCUGCUACUGAUGCCUGCGCCCUCACCACCCCUGUGAAGGAUGCCCAGCUGACCCAACCCUCCACGGUGAGUCUGUCCCACUUAAUGUUGCAAGAGUUAUCCGGUAUACCUUCACUCUCUCAUGCUUUCCCUAUGUCCUGUGCUAUCCAACUUAAUGAUGUGAGAGUUAACUGGUGUUUUCACUAUCAUCUUUUUAGAGAGAGUGAUUAAAAAAACUAAUGCAAGAGUCACGGUGUUUUUUGUUCCUGUUGAAUGCCUGGACCUAUCAGCUGUCUUGUGCUGUCCAGCUUAUUAAUGCAAGAGUCAUGGUGUUUUUUGUUCCUGUUGGGUGCCUGGACCUAUCAGCUGUCUUGUGCUGUCCAGCUUAUUAAUGCAAGAGUCAUGGUGUUUUUUGUUCCUGUUGAAUGCCUGGACCUAUCAGCUGUCUUGUGCUGUCCAGCUUAUUAAUGCAAGAGUCAUGGUGUUUUUUGUUCCUGUUGGGUGCCUGGACCUAUCAGCUGUCUUGUGCUGUCCAACUAAUUAAUGCAAGAGUCAUGGUGUCUUCAUCAUCAUCAUCAUCAUCAUUUCCUGGCCGCCUGCUCCUAGGAGCUCCCACCAGGGGAUGGCCACGGCAGAAGAGCUUCCAACUUUCUCUAUCCAGACACUCCCUCCUUGCCUGCUCAAAGAUCUUUCCCCCCUCUCCCUAACAUACUCUUGCACCCUAUCCCUCCAUUUCACUGGAGGUCCAACAUUCCCUCCCUCUGUCUCACUCACACACACGCUUCUGGUCAUCUUACUCUUCUCCAUUUGCUCCAUGUGGCCAAACCACUUUAAAGUCUGUCGCUUCACUUCUUCCACCACUCCACACUUCUUCCCUUCACCCCUGUGACACAUUCCAAAACACACUUUCAUUACUCAUUCCAUCCAUUCUUCUCACACCACAAGCACUCCUCAAAUAACUCAUUUCCACUGCCUGCACUCCAGACCUUCUUUCCAGGCCCAUAUGUGAGGGUUGGUACUAUUAUUGUAUUUCUCAAAUCCCUCUUUACCUCCAUGCUCACACUUCUGCCAUUCGUCCCAAAGACCCUGCCACCCUUCUUCCUUGCAAUGCCCUUUCUCUUAUCUCUCCCUCCAUGCUUACACAUAACUGAUCCAAGCUACUCAAACUCAUUGACCUCCUCCAUUUCUUCGCCAUUCAAAAUUAUUUUGCAUUCUUUUUCACAUUCAAUUCCCACUCUCUAUGGGCAUACAAAAUCUACAACCUCACUUCUCACAAACCAUCACUUUACUUUUGUUGACAUUUAUUUUCAGCUUUUUCCUGUUACAGACACUAUCAAAAACACUGACCAUUUUUGUAGGUCACUUUCAUUUUCAGCAAUGAGCACCGUGUCAUCAGCAAACAGUAUUGAAUUCAUAUACCCACUUCCUUCCCUCAUCGAACAGUCUUACUCCAACUUUGCCCUUCAUUUCUCUAAUGACACCAUCCAUAUAAAUAUUGAAUAACCAUGGUGACAUGAUGCACCCUUGUCUUAAGCCCACUUUUAUCUCAAAAAGUUCA